UGAACAUUCAGUUUGGGAAAGACUUGGUAGAAGUGUAAGAGACUUUGUGGAAGUUCGGGUUAUUGUUUAACCCAGCUUGUGUGGUAUCUGUUGAGACCAACAACGGGAUGAGCAGCGAGGGGCAAUGUUAGAGUUUGACCAGGUGAUUGGGCUGCGGAAUUAUGUGAAGAAGGGACGAGGAAACUGACGUUGAUGUUAAUUCAUGGAAGUUGGGUACAGCUGAAGUGGAAAUUGAAGUUCCACAUGUGGGCUACUUAUUAGCCAUGAUUGUUGUGGUGGUGAAUAACAAGUGUAUUGUUAUCGUGCAGCAUCUCGGUGAAUAACAAGUGUAUUGUUAUUGUGCAGCAGAAACAUAUUGUGUAAAUAUGGCUGUAGUAUUUAGAGCUGAUUUGAAAUGGAGGGUGCUAACUAAUGUUAGUACAUAAUUUAGUUAGAACAAAAUAUGUAUAUAAAAGUUGAUCACGAGGAAGUGAAUCAUAAGGAUUGUGGUAUGAACUGAAACAUUUUAUAUUGAACUGUGUGGUUUUAGUAUAUUAUUUUGUGUGUUGUGAUACGUGAUAUUUUUAUAUGAAAUUAUGUGUAAAGUGGUGAUAAUGUAUGUUUAUUAUAUAUGAGAAGUGUGAGUGUUGAGGGAGUGCUGGUGAUUAGUGGUAUGUGAGAGGGAUAUAAUUAGGGUUAGUAAGUAGGAGUGGAGAAUGAAUGUGAUUGUUAUUUGUGUGCUGUAAAUAAAUGUAAUAUAAUUUA
Gigantopelta aegis is the source of this 744-nucleotide long non-coding RNA. RefSeq lists it as uncharacterized. The record is from RefSeq and is a predicted model, not a curated record. Lineage: Eukaryota; Metazoa; Mollusca; Gastropoda; Neomphalida; Peltospiridae. The transcript has 2 exons.